GGCAUUUUUUCCUCUGUUUGAAUUUUAUUUAUUUUUGUGGAAAAUUACUUUAUAAGAAAAAGCGUAUGACUUAAAAUGUCCGAAGAAAGGAACUAAAAGCUCAUUUCUUUUAGAAAUGUUAAAAAUGAGUAUUUUUCAAGGCUUUAUACUUACAGUUUUCGUGUCAUUUACGACCGCGAGGCAACAUAGAUAUUCAAAGGUUGACUCACAAAGUGUUAGGUACUCCGAUAUUACUGGACAAUACUUUAAAUUAACACUUCGAGGAUUCCGUGUCUUGCCUUAUGUGACGGAAAGGACGGUUGUUUAUCUGUCAACCAUAACUUGGGUACGGACAUUUGCGAGCUUUCCGCCCAUAUUCCGAGGGUCCUUACACCUCCGUCAGUGACUGAACCCAACUGGAGGGUAUAUUACCAUGACCGUUUCAUUCGUGCCGUUGGUGCAUGGCAAAAUUCAACAUUCGUAGAUAUAUACGCAACUAUAUCUAGUUUAACAGCCGAUUUUGCUAUCGAUGGUAACUACGAAAAUAGCCAUCUGGAAACAGGUCUACCUUGCGCUCAUGCUGCGACUGGCUAUUCCUAUUGGGCUAUGGAGUUCGAACGUAUUGCAGAAGUUUCUUACAUCAUCAUCUACUUCAGAGAUAUUAAUAAUCACAGAAACACCAACUUGCGUUUGUUGAUUUCCUGAAUAAGACAUGAUUCCGACGACAACGUCGGCACAGACUGCGCUACCUACGUCGGACCGCCAGAAUCGCCUGCUCUACCGGUAACAGUCAAGUGCGUUCAGUCUGCGAUUGGAAAGUUCCUGAAGAUAAUAGACUUGACUGAAGAGUCACU
Mercenaria mercenaria is the source of this 833-nucleotide long non-coding RNA. RefSeq lists it as uncharacterized. The record is from RefSeq and is a predicted model, not a curated record. The transcript is spliced from 3 exons. NCBI's taxonomy places the organism in Eukaryota, Metazoa, Mollusca, Bivalvia, Venerida, Veneridae.